UCCAAUUAACUUUAAAAAAAAUUUAUGUAGAAAAUUCAUUUUGAGAGGCAAAUUAAAGUAAAUGAAUUUUCUAUGAUUAGUUGUCGAUUGGCUAGUUAAUGUAAACCACGACGUUCGGACUAGUCGUCCUUUGAUGAAUUUGAGAAGAGAAAGGGUAAGAAGAAAGGAGAGGGAGGAAAUGAAGAUGGGUUUCAGUUGGUUUAUGGGAAGAAUAAGAAGGGAGAGUCUGUCUCUGUGGUGAGUGGUGGUGGUGACUCAGUGAGUCGGAUGAAGGUGCAGGGAGACUCGGUGAAUGUGAAAGUAAAGGAAAAGAAAGAGAGAGCUAAAGUGCCGUUUCAUAUACCCACUAUAAAGAAACCUCAAGAGAAGUAUAAUAUCUUGGUGAAUAAUUUGAACCAGCCAUUUCAGCAUGUUUGAUUACAGAGGAGUGAGGAUAAUCACCGCUUUCUCCAUUCUCUGGUCGCGCAUGGAGCAGAUCUGGAUAUUGUAUCGCUUCAAUGAGACCUUGGCAUAUAUAUUUGCAAUAUGUUUGAUACUUGACAGUCAAAGUUUGGCUUCAAAAAGGAGCAUUUAUUAGUUUCUGACUCCAGUAAGAAAUAAUCUGCCUCAAGGGUCUUGAAAUUGGAGAGAAAUAGUUUGGAGUAUCUUCUACAGCACUUUUGUGGAGUUACUGCCAACAAAGAAUAUCAGGAUGCAGAUUGGAGAUUACUCCUCCUUCCCAAUGAGAUGCUGAGAUAUGUCAGAGAAGAAUAGAAGAUACACACUAUUUGUUGUACGUAUAUGAUAUGAUGAAAAUCAAAUUGUUUCCAUGUCUAAGGAGUCUGAAACCUCUGAUGCUUCAUUGAUAGAGGUCUACAAGCGUAGUUAUGAUAUAUGCAUGCAGCUGUAUUAAAAAGAGCUUCUGACAGAGAAUUCAUCUCUAUAUAUAUAUAUGGGUUGCAGGGGCCUGAAUAGAAUGCUCAGCAGCUUGCCAUUGUUGCAGGCUAUUGUCAAUGGCGAGAUGCUGUUGCUGGUGCAGAGGAUGAACGUACUGGUUAUAUUUUACCUAUCAAAACUCUUCUUGAAAUUGGUUGAAGGAGUUGAAGGCAUCAUGGCUGCCUAUGCGAAUGCUCUCCACAAUGUUUCUCUGGCAGGACCUACUCUGUUUGGCCAGGUGAUAAACAUGGCUGCACAAAUUACUGGUCAGUCCCUCUCACAUGACAGUAGCAAGUAUUUUGUCUUGCUCAUUAUAACGGAUGGAGUUCUGACAGAUCUUCAAGAAACCAAAGAUGCUUUGGUGAGAGCAUCUGAUCUUCCCCUUCAAUUCUUAAUGUGGGAGUGGGAGGUGCUGAUUUUACACAAAUGGAGAUUCUGGAUGCUGAUAAUGGCAACUGGUUAGAAAGCUCUACAGGUCGUGUAGCUACACGAGACAUUGUACAAUUUGUUCCUAUGCGAGAAGUUCAAAGAGGCCAGAUUUCUGUUGUUCAAGCACUUCUGGAAGAGCUGCCUGGACUGUUUCUGGGUUACAUGCGAUCUAGAGAUGUCAAACCACUCAAUCUUCACGCGGCCCAAACACCUGCUUUAUAAAAUUUAAAUACCACCAAAAUUCCAAAAUCGGGUAAAGAUGUUAGGAUUAACUGUUCAUAUGAAGUAGCAAUUGAUGGUAUAGAUAUUAGGGUGAAGCUUUUGAAGCUUCAUCAAUGAUUUGAUUAACUGUAAAUAAUGAUGAGAUGAUGAAAUUUUGUUUUUUAUUAGUGAUAAUUUGAUUGUUUACAUACGUUCUUGGGCAAUAACAAUUGAGUUACUAAAAGUUUCUGGCAAUUUAAGUUUAUCCAUCCAUCAUUAAAAUGUUACUUCUAGAAAUUCAAGAGUUUAGUUUGAAGUCUACUCAAUAUAUGCAUAGUUCGAGUUUUCCCGAAUUAUUAAAUCUCUGAAAAUUUCCUAGUGAAAUAUUUUCUCAUAGUGAAGAAGCUUGCAAUCCUUGGAAGAUCCAUCAUAGUCAAGAAGUGUAGUUGACAAAGACCUUGUUGGGGGUUGACCAAAUUGUAAAGAGUUAGAGACUCCAAAAGGGAAAAGGCAGGAAACGCAUCAUGAGAUUCUUGAUGCUGAUAAUGGCAACCGAUCAGAAAGUUAUACAGGUUGGGUAGCUACGCGAGUUGUUGUACAAUUUUUUCCUAUGCGAGAAGUUCAAAAAGGACAAAUUUCUGCUGUUCAAGCACUUUUAGAAGAGCUGUCUGGAUAGUUUUUGAGUUACAUGCAAUGUAGUGAUAUCAAGCCACGGGGCCCAAACACCUGCUUUAUAAAACUCCAAAAUCAGAGGAUUGCACUGUUCAUAUGUAGUAGCAAUUUAGAUGGUAAAAAAUUUAGGAUGGAUACAUUGAUAAUUUGAUUAGACAAUGAAAUUUGUUUCUGUUAAUAAUAUUUGAUUGUUUAUAUACGUUCUUGGGCAAGAGCAUUUGCUUCAAAUA
RNA transcript from Pistacia vera, 2447 nucleotides. RefSeq lists it as uncharacterized. The record is from RefSeq and is a predicted model, not a curated record. The transcript has 16 exons. NCBI's taxonomy places the organism in Eukaryota, Viridiplantae, Streptophyta, Magnoliopsida, Sapindales, Anacardiaceae.